RNAcentral lists this ribosomal RNA (468 nucleotides) under uncultured bacterium. Its description in RNAcentral is "partial 16S ribosomal RNA". It matches the Rfam family "Bacterial small subunit ribosomal RNA", at positions 28 to 507 of the family's 1533-position model. The record is from RNAcentral.
GACGAACGCUGGCGGCGUGCUUAACACAUGCAGGUCGAACGGAAAGGCCCUGCUUUUGUGGGGUGCUCGAGUGGCGAACGGGUGAGUAACACGUGAGUAACCUGCCCUUGACUUUGGGAUAACUUCAGGAAACUGGGGCUAAUACCGGAUAGGAGCUCCUGCUGCAUGGUGGGGGUUGGAAAGUUUCGGCGGUUGGGGAUGGACUCGCGGCUUAUCAGCUUGUUGGUGGGGUAGUGGCUUACCAAGGCUUUGACGGGUAGCCGGCCUGAGAGGGUGACCGGCCACAUUGGGACUGAGAUACGGCCCAGACUCCUACGGGAGGCAGCAGUGGGGAAUAUUGCACAAUGGGCGGAAGCCUGGUGCAGCAACGCCGCGUGCGGGAUGACGGCCUUCGGGUUGUAAACCGCUUUCGCCUGUGACGAAGCGUGAGUGACGGUAAUGGGUAAAGAAGCACCGGCUAACUACGUG